Molecule: unclassified non-coding RNA, 1079 nt
Filed under: Leishmania donovani
Lineage: Eukaryota; Euglenozoa; Kinetoplastea; Trypanosomatida; Trypanosomatidae
Description: gene:unknown
Source: RNAcentral
AAGCUCGUGAGGAAAGUCGCCAGGGUGACUGGCGCCAGCGGCCGACCCGGGCCGUGCCAUCUUGGAGACGCUGCUUGAGCACGGCUGCGCGGCAUUCCUGGCCAAUGUGGACGGCGCCUCUGUAGCGUCGCUGAGGGAUGAACUGGACAACCACGGCGCCGCCGCUGAACGUGUCUCGUGAGAAACAGUGGGCCACUGCCGCGGCGGCAUGCAGGAACGCGCUUGGUCGCGUGUACAUUCUUGUGUGUCACGCCGGCAUCAACAUCAUGGAGGCCCUGGAGAGCACGACGCUGGAUGUGGGGCGCAAUACAAUGAAUGGGAAUGCCUUGGGCACCUUCCUUGGCAUCAGCACCCUGCUGCCGCUGAUGAAGGCGCAAGGGGGAGGAGGACGGAAGCAUCCUGUCUGUCGCAUCCAUGGGUGCGUUACGUGACACCACGGUGCAGUCCGCGUGUUGCGCCAGGGAGGAUGCAGCGCCUCUCAUGCGCGCGUCCCUGGCGCUGGAGCUCAUUCCCUUUAACACCUGCGUGAGCGUGAGGCACCUCGGCACGGGCAACACACCGAUGGGUGAGCACCUAACGCCUGCGACGCACCAGCAGCCGGAGAACCUCGGCAAGGCCUUGCCGAUCGGGCGCCUUCAGCAUCCGCACGUGAUCACAGAGCCAGUUUCAUUCUUCACCUCAGAUCGUACCUCGUGCAUGCUGGGCGCAGACGCCAAGCAUCGACGGCAACUCCACAGUGAAAUCUCACCUGUAGGCGGCGCAUCGAAAUUCCAAAGCAGCACGGAGACGGGAAGGAGGGAGAUGGGCGGGGACGUCUGUGCCCGUGUGGGCGCACAAGCCUAUCCACCUUCAAGUUCCUCGCCACACGCACCGGCUCUCCACUGUCUGAUUUACCGCCGAGACACCGCUGUCCGCGUCUGCUUUUUCUUCUCCAUCCCUUCCACCAUCGCCAUCGGCUGACUUUGCAGCGCUGCCGUUGCUACUGAUGCGCACCGCACAGACGUACGCGGCCCCACGCCCACCCAUCGUGGCUUCUCUCUCCGCCCUCUCAUCGCCGACUUACACUCAUCGCAUUCCAG